RNAcentral lists this long non-coding RNA (788 nucleotides) under Calidris pygmaea (Spoon-billed sandpiper). RNAcentral describes it as "lncRNA (ENSCPGG00000017716.1)". Lineage: Eukaryota; Metazoa; Chordata; Aves; Charadriiformes; Scolopacidae. The record is from RNAcentral.
CUAGGUGGUGCACACCAGUGGCAGGUGAGUGUCGCUGUGGCAAAGUAACAUGCCCAAGGUCACACUCCAGUAGGUCAGUGGCAGAGUUAGCCCUGCGCCAUCAGUCACAGAAUCAUCUCAGCUGCCUGAGAGUGCACGUUUUCUGCAGCCUUCCCUCAGAAUUUCCUCUAAUUGAGAUCAGCUGAAAUAAUCUUAAUGAAGUUGUACAAUAUGGAAGAUUCCCUGCCAUGGAGGAUUUAUAUGCCUCGACUGUAAGUGACAGUAUAGUCUUGCAAGCCCAGUUGCAUGUUUAUCCAUUACCUCCCUGCCAAUGCUGCUCCUUAGAGAGAUGGUGCUGUAAGAUUUUGGAUGCUAAGAAUAAUAAAAUGGCAUUUUUCAGUAACCUAUAGUUUGCCUCUGCCAAAGCAACGAUGCAUCACUUUGAUGCCAAAAAGCACUGAAACAGGAAGAGUUGCUGUUGGGUCCCAGCAUGGUGACUUCAUCACAGGCCUCAGCUUCAAACUGUGGAGUAAUAAAACUGAAUAGCACAAUAUAAAACUCCAUGUUUCAUAAGACAAAUAUUGCUUUACGCAUUCAUGUCCCUUGUACUAUGUUAACUGUAGGAAGAAAUGGAAUACAGUUUUAGUGACCCCCUGGGACCUAUAAAGGCUAUUUCUGAGUCUGAAUCUUGCUGUUUAAUUUAAUCAUUUAUUAUAUUAAUAUUCAAAUGGGCUGCAUCUUAUUAGCUACUGCAAAGAUGUUAGUAUGUCUGAAAUAAAUACCUAAUUAUGCUUUUGAAGAGAGAGGUU